Long non-coding RNA from Cotesia glomerata, 1150 nucleotides. RefSeq lists it as uncharacterized. The transcript is spliced from 2 exons. Lineage: Eukaryota; Metazoa; Arthropoda; Insecta; Hymenoptera; Braconidae. The record is from RefSeq and is a predicted model, not a curated record.
UUUUCGUUAUGUGUAAUAUCUUAAAAAUAUUUUCUGAAAAUUUCAAGUCGAUCCAAUAAUUAGUUUUUGAGUUAUUCGACAAAUAACAAAGAGAGCUCGGGUACUUCAAAGCGCUCGGGAGCAGAUAGCUAGCGGCACCUUUAAGAAACCCCCUUUUAGGGUUCUAUUAUCAUCCUAUUCUGGAAUUAUAAAAGUAGAUCCUUACAAAAAUACAACCAUAAAUAAAAAGGAAUGUAUAGGCCAUGUUCCGAAGCGGAUGGGGACUCGACUGCGUACUCUGAAAACUACACAAAAAGGUCUUGGUGGUAGAGGUAGGCUUACAGGAAAAGUAAUAGACAAAUUAACUGUGUACUAUGGUUUAUCAAUACGUCGUCAUUGCGAUUCUAUUGAAGAAAAUCGACUGAUGAAAAUCCGAAUCAUGAUAUGUGUCCCAAAGGCGAAGAUUCUUGGUGCUCUUACCAGCGCGCUGAAGCAAGUGGAGAGCUUGAUACUUAUACUCAAGAUUAUUCUCCCUCACCUCCUGAUGUUUUAAAAGCUAUUAAACCGAUUUACGACGAUCUCAGUAAUGAUAAUUUACUUUCAAGAUGUGUAGGUGGAUUCAAUCAGAAUAAUAAUGAGAGCUUCAACCAACUAGUGUGAAAAAUAUGCCCAAAAACCGUGAAUACUAGUUCUACUAUCGUACAAAUUGCUGCAUACAUAGCUACUUGUAUAUUUAAUGAAGGUACAAAUUCAUUAUUAAUGAUUAUAGAUACCCUAGGACUUAAUUGUGGGUCUAAUUCCCAUCGGUAUGCUGAAAAAUUGGAUGCUGCACGUGUGAAAGUGGCAGAUCAGCGCGCCAACGACAACACUCGGGAAGGCAGAAUGCUUCGUAGGCAACAGCAAAUUGAUGUUUUGGAAACUUCCACAAUGGCUGAUGAACUAUUAUAUGGCCCAGGUAUAGAUGACUCGAUAUGAAUCUCCAAGAACUUAUGAUUGUCACCGCAAGGACCUUUUUUUGGAACUGGGUCAACACAGACAGCUAUAACUUUGGAAAUCAAAUUUUUUUUUUUUUUUAAUUUUCGUGACUUCAAGUCAAAACAUUGUAUAAUAAUGCCAUAUUACUACUUUUGUAGAAUAACAUGAUUUAAUAGCAAAAAAAAAAUACUGAAAA